Long non-coding RNA from Saccostrea cuccullata (small rock oyster), 203 nucleotides. RefSeq lists it as uncharacterized. NCBI's taxonomy places the organism in Eukaryota, Metazoa, Mollusca, Bivalvia, Ostreida, Ostreidae. The transcript has 3 exons. The record is from RefSeq and is a predicted model, not a curated record.
ACUGCCUGUAGAAUUACUGAUCUAAAUCCAAAACUUCAAGAUGAAGCCCUAUCUUUUAAUCGUGGUCUGUGUGUUUUUGAUUGCAUCGGCGCAAGUUGUUACGGCUGGCAACGGGUGCUAUGGACUCAUUCACAGCGACCGUACUUGCAGUAGGUACUGCAAGAACGAACUCAGCUGUCAAGGAGGAUACUGUGAUUCGAAGA